GGUGCAGCUGUUAAGCGUUCGGCUGCUAACCGAAAGGUUGGUGGUUUGAACCCACCAGCUCCU
Molecule: non-coding RNA, 63 nt
Organism: Loxodonta africana (African savanna elephant)
Lineage: Eukaryota; Metazoa; Chordata; Mammalia; Proboscidea; Elephantidae
Source: Rfam